Molecule: long non-coding RNA, 2335 nt
Filed under: Daphnia magna
Lineage: Eukaryota; Metazoa; Arthropoda; Branchiopoda; Diplostraca; Daphniidae
Description: uncharacterized LOC123472209
Source: RNAcentral
CUGGGAAGAGGAAACAGGAGUAGAGAUACCUGCCAGCAAAUCAACUGUACUACGUGGCCAUGAAUCUGAAGUUUUUAUCUGCGCCUGAACCCAACAACUGAUUUAUUGGCUUCUGGCUCUGGUGAUAGUACUAAGGACAUACGAAUGAAGUAAACGCUAUCAAGUGGGAUCCUCAGGGUAAUCUUUUGGCUUCCUGUUCUCACGAUAUUGUGUACAGUGUCGCAUUUUCUCCCGAUGGCAAAUACCUAGCAUCUGGUAGCUUUGACUUAUGUGUACACAGCUGGUCUACUCAGUCGGGGCAAUUGUUACACAGCUACAAAGGAACUAGAGGCAUUUUUGAAGUUUGCUGGAAUUCUCGGGGCGAUAAAGUUGGAGCAAGUGCUUUUGACGGAAGUGUAUUUGCUGGGAUAACUGAACAGAAGUUUUAAAGAAAGACGGAAACAAUUGACAAGGCAAAAGAUUGGGAACCUGAAUGCUAUUCAGGUUUAAAGGAUGGUCAGUGACUACAGUUGGGAAUGAGGUUCUCAGUUCUAACACUAUUUCCUCCAGUAGUUCCACGUUAUUACCUCAUUAUCCUGGUACCGUGUCCACAAAGCAAAAAGGAUGGAGUUCUUCAACUGUGUCUCCUUCUUCCUAUGGGCCUUGAUUUUCUCGUGUGAGAGAAGCUUCUGUGAAAGCUUUACGUCUUCACACAGCUGCUCCAGCACCAACGUCAUCUUGUAAAACGGGAGAUUUGGGCCACCCGCCAACUGUCAUUGUGAAGCCCUUCACAAUCGUUAUUUGUUCUCAGAAGCAGCUCAGAGCAGUCAGUGGUUAUGUAAGAUAAAGGCUCCCUAGGGAACCUGUGUUGAAAGCGGCAAAACUCGUCUGAUGGUACCAUCAAAGAGAGAAAAAGACAGGCCACCACGAAAUCAUAAUUGAGGGAAAUUUCAAAAAAUAAAACAAGCGGUUAACAAAUUGAAUUUUAAAACAUAUCUAUCUUAUUUUUAUUGACAAAUCAAAUCAAAACAUAUUUAUCGACACUGUACACUGGUUCGGAGUGCUUGGUUAAGGUAUGAAUACACAACCCACGCUCAACGUCCCACAAAACGGUCGAGUCAAACGAAGCGCUAGCCAAAAUCAGAUUCAUGUUUGGGUUUUUUGUUCCAAGGCCGGUAAGACUCCAUUUUAUGGUGUAGAUUUCCUUGUUGUGUGCUUGCGAAUCAUGAACACAAGUGUCUUGUUACAUGUACCACAUCUAGGAAAAGGAUCGGACACAUUUGAUUUGAUAGUAUUUUGACAAGACCCAAUGAUGAAAACAUAGAUAAUUAUGACAUGUCAUUUGUGAGCGAUGAUGAAAUGUAAAUUUAACAUUCAACUGAUUUUUAAAUCAUAUUAUCUUAUUUUUAUUGAUGUAUAAAAUGUAUUGGCACUGGUUACCUGAAUAGCAUUCAGGUUCCCAAUCUGAGCCAGAAGCCAAUAAAUCAGUUGUUGGGUUCAGGCGCAGAUGAAAACUUCAGAUUCAUGGCCACGUAGUACAGUUGAUUUGCUGGCAGGUAUCUCUACUCCUGUUUCCUCUUCCCAGCCUUCAUUAAAUAGUUGAAGGGAAAAUAAGUAAGUAGUUCAGGGGAUCAAAGAAAAGUAUUGACCAUCUUACGAUAGGAAUGCAUGGGUUCAUCUCCAUUGGAAUUUGGUGGUUCUGUCUUUACCACUUGUGGUUUCUGAUUGUUCUGUGUUUGCUGUUGACGACUUGCAACAACAUCAGGCAUCACAGCAUCAAUGAGUGAUAAGCUUUCCAUGGGUUGUUCCGAACCAUCCUGAAAAACAAAAACAUACACGAGUAAAAAUUUGGUGGUAGAUAAAUUUCAUCAUAUUAAAAUUGUCACUCACAUCUCCAACACUGAUCUCAGACCCUUCUGGAUGAUGGAGAGAAGGGCUGCUGUUGCUACCAAUUGAUGUUGGAUUGUGAAAUAUGUGACUCUAUGCCAAAGGUGUAAGCAGAAUGCUGAAAACCUAUUUGAAAGGCAAUCAGCAGCGAUCAUGACGCCAUCAGGGUAGUCCAAUCAUGACGCUACCUAUUCACACAAGUUGAUAAUUACAAUAGUAGCAACUUAAGAUUGAAAAUAACAUGAUAUAAUUCUCUAACAUACCCGAAUUGAAGGUAAACAACUUACUCCAGCGAUAGCAUUGCACCAUAGACCACGCUAUUGAUGACGCUUGAUGUGUUGGCGUCUGCUAUGUGUGUGAAUCAAUUUGAAAUGAAAAUGAUUCAAAAUUGAAUUCUUACAGAUCAAAUGUAACGAAAAUUGUAAUUCAAAUUUUAAAAUGAUUAAAAAUAAAAUGUACACAUGUUGAA